RNAcentral lists this ribosomal RNA (472 nucleotides) under uncultured bacterium. RNAcentral's name for it is "bacterial SSU rRNA". It matches the Rfam family "Bacterial small subunit ribosomal RNA", at positions 355 to 825 of the family's 1533-position model. The record is from RNAcentral.
UCGGGAAUAUUGGACAAUGGGCGAAAGCCUGAUCCAGCCAUGCCGCGUGUGUGAAGAAGGUCUUCGGAUUGUAAAGCACUUUAAGUUGGGAGGAAGGGCAGUAAGUUAAUACCUUGCUGUUUUGACGUUACCGACAGAAUAAGCACCGGCUAACUCUGUGCCAGCAGCCGCGGUAAUACAGAGGGUGCAAGCGUUAAUCGGAAUUACUGGGCGUAAAGCGCGCGUAGGUGGUUUGUUAAGUUGGAUGUGAAAUCCCCGGGCUCAACCUGGGAACUGCAUUCAAAACUGACAAGCUAGAGUAUGGUAGAGGGUGGUGGAAUUUCCUGUGUAGCGGUGAAAUGCGUAGAUAUAGGAAGGAACACCAGUGGCGAAGGCGACCACCUGGACUGAUACUGACACUGAGGUGCGAAAGCGUGGGGAGCAAACAGGAUUAGAUACCCAAGUAGUCCCUGAGCGGGCUGGCAAGGCGCAU